AGCAGCCGCGGUAAUUCCAGCUCCAAUAGCGUAUAUUAAAGUUGUUGCAGUUAAAAAGCUCGUAGUUGAAUUUCGGGAUCAGUACGCUGGUCGUGCCUUUGGUAUGUACUGGUGUCACUGAUUCCUCCCUUCUGAAGAACCGUUAUGCCAUUUAUUUGGUGUGGCGGGGAAUCAGGACUGUUACUUUGAAAAAAUUAGAGUGUUUAAAGCAGGCUCGCGCUUGAAUACAUCAGCAUGGAAUAAUGAAAUAGGACGUUUGAUCUUAUUUUGUUGGUUUCUAGGAUCGACGUAAUGAUUAAUAGGGAUAGUUGGGGGCAUUAGUAUUCAAUUGUCAGAGGUGAAAUUCUUGGAUUUAUUGAAGACUAACUACUGCGAAAGCAUUUGCCAAGGAUGUUUUCAUUAAUCAAGAACGAAAGUUAGGGGAUCGAAGACGAUCAGAUACCGUCGUAGUCUUAACCAUAAACUAUGCCGACUAGGGAUCGGAUGAUGUUAUUUUUAAUGA
RNAcentral lists this ribosomal RNA (502 nucleotides) under uncultured Glomus. RNAcentral's name for it is "SSU rRNA". It matches the Rfam family "Eukaryotic small subunit ribosomal RNA", at positions 569 to 1074 of the family's 1831-position model. The record is from RNAcentral. Lineage: Eukaryota; Fungi; Glomeromycota; Glomeromycetes; Glomerales; Glomeraceae.